This 404-nucleotide RNase P RNA is filed under the name Enterobacterales bacterium. RNAcentral describes it as "RNase P RNA component class A". It matches the Rfam family "Bacterial RNase P class A". From Rfam's summary of the family: Ribonuclease P (RNase P) is a ubiquitous endoribonuclease, found in archaea, bacteria and eukarya as well as chloroplasts and mitochondria. Its best characterised activity is the generation of mature 5'-ends of tRNAs by cleaving the 5'-leader elements of precursor-tRNAs. Cellular RNase Ps are ribonucleoproteins. The record is from RNAcentral. Lineage: Bacteria; Pseudomonadati; Pseudomonadota; Gammaproteobacteria; Enterobacterales.
AGGGUCAACCGAGCAGUCGCCGCUAUUUUUGACUUAGUCAAAAAAGGGGAGGAAAGUCCGGACUUUAUAGAGCAGAGUGCCAGGUAACGCCUGGGCAGUGUAAACUGACGGCAAGUGCAGCAGAAAGUAAACCGCCUAUUUGUAGCGUAAGUUAUUGAUAGGUAAGGGUGAAAUGGUGCGGUAAGAGCGCACCGCGUUGGUGGUAACAUCAAUGGCAAGGUAAACCCCACUCGAAGCAAGGCCAAAUAGGGUUCCUGUUCGGUUAAUGUUUUACUUAGGUAAAGCUUAGCGGAUAAGGCGCGGCUCGCGUUGGAACCGGGUAGGCCGCUUGAGCCAAGGAGCGAUCCUUGGCCUAGAUGAAUGACUGUUCACGACAGGAUCCGGCUUAUAGGUUGGCCCUCACU